This 323-nucleotide ribosomal RNA is filed under the name uncultured eukaryote. Its description in RNAcentral is "partial 18S ribosomal RNA". It matches the Rfam family "Eukaryotic small subunit ribosomal RNA", at positions 1470 to 1796 of the family's 1831-position model. The record is from RNAcentral.
CCCUUAGGUGUUCUGGGCCGCACGCGUGCUACACUGAACGGUUCAAUGGGUAAGGUAGUGCGAAAGCAUGACCUAAUCUCGAAAUCCGUUCGUGCUGGGGAUAGAAGCUUGCAAUUAUCCUUCUUGAACGAGGAAUACCUUGUAAGCGUGAGUCAUCAUCUCACGCUGAAUACGUCCCUGCCCUUUGUACACACCGCCCGUCGCUCCUACCGAUUGAGUGUUCCGGUGAGGCUUUGGGAGAAUGGCCUCAACAUGAGUUUAUCGUGUUUUGCCGUUUGAACUUAGUCAAACCUUAUCACUUAGAGGAAGGAGAAGUCGUAACA